AAUUGGGAGAAGAAACCCAUUCUGAUCCAACGACAGAAUCCAGACUAUUACAAAGGACUCUUUUCGACGGCUGAGUUUGACCACAUCUUAAGAAACGAUGACGUGCAGUAUGGAGUGAAUCUGGAUGUGACGAGCUACACAAAUG
This is a long non-coding RNA of Sinocyclocheilus rhinocerous, 145 nucleotides long. RefSeq lists it as uncharacterized. NCBI's taxonomy places the organism in Eukaryota, Metazoa, Chordata, Actinopteri, Cypriniformes, Cyprinidae. The transcript has 2 exons. The record is from RefSeq and is a predicted model, not a curated record.